CGAUACCCUGGUUGAUGAGGUGGAAGCCGCAAGGCGGAUGCCAAGUUGGCCGGGGAUAUAGCGGCAGAUUGGUGCGUAACGCGUGAGUAAUUUACCUCCAAGUCGGGGAUAGCCUUACGAAAGUGAGGGUAAUACCCGAUGUGUUUAUGCUGGCAUAAGCCGGUAUAAGUAAAGAUAGCCCGCAAGGGCCGUUGUUUGGAGAUGAGCUCGCUUCCUAUCAGCUAGUUGGCAGGGUAUUGGCCUACCAAGGCAAAUAACGGGUAGCUGGCCUGAGAGGGUGGUCAGCCACAUUGGGUCCUUGACACUACGACNACUCCUACGGGAGGUCGGAUGU
RNAcentral lists this small RNA (334 nucleotides) under uncultured bacterium. RNAcentral's name for it is "bacterial SSU rRNA". The stretch from base 40 to 326 matches the Rfam family "Bacterial small subunit ribosomal RNA", at positions 61 to 348 of the family's 1533-position model. The record is from RNAcentral.